UGAUGUUGGACAAAGAUUGUGGAUGAGGUC
RNAcentral lists this non-coding RNA (30 nucleotides) under Rattus norvegicus (Norway rat). The record is from RNAcentral. Lineage: Eukaryota; Metazoa; Chordata; Mammalia; Rodentia; Muridae.